This 1330-nucleotide ribosomal RNA is filed under the name Bacillus sp. DU155(2010). Its description in RNAcentral is "bacterial SSU rRNA". It matches the Rfam family "Bacterial small subunit ribosomal RNA", at positions 44 to 1357 of the family's 1533-position model. The record is from RNAcentral. Lineage: Bacteria; Bacillati; Bacillota; Bacilli; Caryophanales; Bacillaceae.
UCGCAUCUAUACAUGCAGUCGAGCGAAUCGAUGGGAGCUUGCUCCCUGAGAUUAGCGGCGGACGGGUGAGUAACACGUGGGCAACCUGCCUAUAAGACUGGGAUAACUUCGGGAAACCGGAGCUAAUACCGGAUACGUUCUUUUCUCGCAUGAGAGAAGAUGGAAAGACGGUUUACGCUGUCACUUAUAGAUGGGCCCGCGGCGCAUUAGCUAGUUGGUGAGGUAAUGGCUCACCAAGGCGACGAUGCGUAGCCGACCUGAGAGGGUGAUCGGCCACACUGGGACUGAGACACGGCCCAGACUCCUACGGGAGGCAGCAGUAGGGAAUCUUCCGCAAUGGACGAAAGUCUGACGGAGCAACGCCGCGUGAACGAAGAAGGCCUUCGGGUCGUAAAGUUCUGUUGUUAGGGAAGAACAAGUACCAGAGUAACUGCUGGUACCUUGACGGUACCUAACCAGAAAGCCACGGCUAACUACGUGCCAGCAGCCGCGGUAAUACGUAGGUGGCAAGCGUUGUCCGGAAUUAUUGGGCGUAAGCGCGCGCAGGUGGUUCCUUAAGUCUGAUGUGAAAGCCCACGGCUCAACCGUGGAGGGUCAUUGGAAACUGGGGAACUUGAGUGCAGAAGAGGAAAGUGGAAUUCCAAGUGUAGCGGUGAAAUGCGUAGAGAUUUGGAGGAACACCAGUGGCGAAGGCGACUUUCUGGUCUGUAACUGACACUGAGGCGCGAAAGCGUGGGGAGCAAACAGGAUUAGAUACCCUGGUAGUCCACGCCGUAAACGAUGAGUGCUAAGUGUUAGAGGGUUUCCGCCCUUUAGUGCUGCAGCUAACGCAUUAAGCACUCCGCCUGGGGAGUACGGCCGCAAGGCUGAAACUCAAAGGAAUUGACGGGGGCCCGCACAAGCGGUGGAGCAUGUGGUUUAAUUCGAAGCAACGCGAAGAACCUUACCAGGUCUUGACAUCCUCUGACAACCCUAGAGAUAGGGCUUUCCCCUUCGGGGGACAGAGUGACAGGUGGUGCAUGGUUGUCGUCAGCUCGUGUCGUGAGAUGUUGGGUUAAGUCCCGCAACGAGCGCAACCCUUGAUCUUAGUUGCCAGCAUUCAGUUGGGCACUCUAAGGUGACUGCCGGUGACAAACCGGAGGAAGGUGGGGAUGACGUCAAAUCAUCAUGCCCCUUAUGACCUGGGCUACACACGUGCUACAAUGGAUGGUACAAAGGGCUGCAAACCUGCGAAGGUAAGCGAAUCCCAUAAAGCCAUUCUCAGUUCGGAUUGCAGGCUGCAACUCGCCUGCAUGAAGCCGGAAUCGCUAGUAAUCGCGGAUCAGCAUGC